AGAGUUUGAUCAUGGCUCAGAUUGAACGCUGGCGGCAGGCCUAACACAUGCAAGUCGAGCGGAUGAAGAGAGCUUGCUCUCUGAUUCAGCGGCGGACGGGUGAGUAAUGCCUAGGAAUCUGCCUGGUAGUGGGGGACAACGUCUCGAAAGGGACGCUAAUACCGCAUACGUCCUACGGGAGAAAGCAGGGGACCUUCGGGCCUUGCGCUAUCAGAUGAGCCUAGGUCGGAUUAGCUAGUUGGUGAGGUAAUGGCUCACCAAGGCGACGAUCCGUAACUGGUCUGAGAGGAUGAUCAGUCACACUGGAACUGAGACACGGUCCAGACUCCUACGGGAGGCAGCAGUGGGGAAUAUUGGACAAUGGGCGAAAGCCUGAUCCAGCCAUGCCGCGUGUGUGAAGAAGGUCUUCGGAUUGUAAAGCACUUUAAGUUGGGAGGAAGGGCAGUAAGCGAAUACCUUGCUGUUUUGACGUUACCGACAGAAUAAGCACCGGCUAACUCUGUGCCAGCAGCCGCGGUAAUAC
Molecule: ribosomal RNA, 523 nt
Filed under: Pseudomonas sp. MSB2084
Lineage: Bacteria; Pseudomonadati; Pseudomonadota; Gammaproteobacteria; Pseudomonadales; Pseudomonadaceae
Also listed under: 1 other name
Description: bacterial SSU rRNA
Rfam family: Bacterial small subunit ribosomal RNA
Source: RNAcentral